This is an RNA transcript of Triticum aestivum (bread wheat), 2481 nucleotides long. RefSeq lists it as uncharacterized. The record is from RefSeq and is a predicted model, not a curated record. The transcript is spliced from 8 exons. NCBI's taxonomy places the organism in Eukaryota, Viridiplantae, Streptophyta, Magnoliopsida, Poales, Poaceae.
CUAGAAACGCAGGACAAAGAGCCCAGCCCUCGUUUCCCGUUCGCUGCCUUCGUCCCCGAUUCCUCUCCCUCUUCCUCAUCUGCCGCCGCUGUCACUCACCGAGCCCUCCGCCACAGCCCAAGCACAACCGCCGCACUCUCCAAGAGCGAACUGCAGGGCGCUUGCUCACGCAUGCCACAUCGAUCGAUUUUACCGUGCUAAAAUAAAAAAAAAAUACUCCCUCCUCAUUCGCCCUCUCCUUCGUUUUCUCCUCCCGGCGGCUAGGGUUAGCGCGGCCGCCGCCCCAUCCCUGCUCGCCGCCGCCUCUGCCUCAUCGUCCCAUCCCAUCACUUCCGAUGUCGGCCACUGGAGAAGGCGCCCCCCUAAGACCCUCUUCUUCCCCAAGCCUUAUAUCUUCGAGUUCUAGCCGGCCACCAUGGUGGUUGCAGAGGACGGGAGCAAGGGGAUGGCAUCGAGGGGCUCUGCCCACUUCUUCGUGUGCGGCCGCCGAUGCAGCUCCACCUCCAUCCCCACGCUUGCAGCCGUGGUGGUUCACGGUGCCGUCGCCGUCUUACUUGGCAGGAGCAACGCGCUCGAUGCUGCUCCAAUGUUGCCGUGAAGUGCUGCUUCGCCUUGGUUGUCCCAACUCAGCCAUCGCUGGAGGCUUGCACUUCUGUAGCCAUCUUGUUUACGACUGGUUAGUUCCUGUACUUGAGGGUUCCUUUAUUCCAAAUUAGUUGCAAGUAGGCCGUGGAUGCAUAGCAUGGCUCAUUGGAUGUAAUUGCUUGGAGAUAGGCAAACAAAUAAAUCCCAAUGAGAUGUUCUUUGUGUUGGAUUCGUUGGAUAUUUUUUUCAAGGAGGUUGUUGCCGGAGGAUACUGCUAGCAAAUGUGCAGGCCUCGUAAUUGGAACUAGCGGAUAAAGGUUGAAAUCUGGUUUGCUAGCAAAAAUAUUUCUAUACACACUGAUGCAACUACUAGCAGAUAGCAAUGCGGGCUGCAGAGACGGCUGGCUUCGUCCUGCUCUUGUCUCGCUGCGACCGCCCGACGAAGGAGAGAGGCAUCAACAGGAGAAGCACGACGCACAUUUUGUUUCUCUAUGCCUACAAGGUGUUCUGCGUCCACUUCCACGGCUCCAACAUAGCAUGGGAACAUGAGCAAUUCUUGAGGUUUAGGGUGACUGUACUAAGUCUAUGGAAUUGUCCACACCUCCUGAAUUUUUGGAAAGUGCUGGUUGUUUGUAUGACAAUAGGAUUCCAGAUUCAGUGAUUCGUGGUUUUACUCCUUCUGGUGUCCUCUAACUGGCAUCCAUUGAGCUGCUCCGACAUUGACUGCAGGAAAGAAGUUUCAAGAGGUUAAGAAAGCUUAUAUGAGGUACUUGAUGUUUGUUCAGCAUGGAUGCUCAAUCUGAGGAUGUACAACUUUCAAGGCGCACGACAGUUUUGAUCAAUUAUCUGCGUCAACACGGAAAGGCGGCGGAGCGAUCUGGACAAUAUGCCUGGUGUCGGUUUUCUCGCCAUUUUGCGACCAGCGCCUCUGCAGGUAUCUGGAUGUUUCUAGCCAGAAGACUCGCAACCUCUACUUAUACAAUGGAUUGACUUUGUUUGUCGGAUGGCUGGCCCUUAUCGUCAUGUCAAUCGAACUCUAAUUGAGGGAAUGCCAGCAAAGGAGAUGUUUCACAAGCACCGACAAAACAUGGAGAUUAUGAUUUGGAAGUAGUCGGGGGUCUGGUCAUGGUGACAGAGUCACACACACAAUUUAUAUGAUAUCUUGGGAAGAUCAGUUCUGCCAUAGUGCCCUUGCUGCUGCUGCUACUUUUAGCCUUUGUUUCCUUGGGAACAUGUUCAGAGUGUAGAUAAGAAACUUAUGCUACUAUAGAUGGAUAUAUGGCAUUCGGUAAAACACCAAAAACUUCUGAAUCUAUAUAUUCUACUUUUCCAAGUAAUUCGGGUGUUGUCAUGAUAUCAUAACCUGACAUGAGUUGGUUAGCAUUUGAGCAACUCUAUUGGUGAAAUGUUAGUUCUUCCCAGGCAGCUAAUUACCAACUCCUCUCUCUAUUUUUUUGGAUUGUUAGAUGGUUAAUAUUAACAUGAGAUGUUAGUUUUGAACUUGUUACUUUCUCAUGAUGCAAUUCUCUAUGCAGGUACAUCGACAGCAAGAAGACGGAUAUUCUUUUUCUGUAAAACAUGACCCUUUGAUUGAUUUGGGUUCACUACUAAACUUUCUAAUGCUUCCUCAUACGACUACCACCUCUGAUUAAUCUCCUUUGGAUUCAGUUAUGUACUUUUGUUUGUUUCCAACUAUUUUUCACUCGGGUUUUUGUGGGUGUUGGUAGCUGGAAUGCAGAGCAUGAAGUGGUGUAAGGUGGUGUUGAUGUGGGACAUUGCAGCCGCUCCCAGAUCAAUUCAAUGUCCAUUUGAAUAUUUUAGUUCCUUUAUGCCUUUGAUUAUAUAUUUUACUGAAUAAUGGGGUUAUACUUGUGGAGAGUACCUGUUUAUAUUUCU